Molecule: ribosomal RNA, 253 nt
Filed under: uncultured bacterium
Lineage: Bacteria
Description: partial 16S ribosomal RNA
Rfam family: Bacterial small subunit ribosomal RNA
Source: RNAcentral
GACGUAGGGGGCCAGCGUUGUUCGGAAUUACUGGGUGUAAAGGGUGCGUAGGCGGCGCGGUAAGUCGGGUGUGAAAUCUCGGGCUUAACUCCGAAACUGCAUUCGAUACUGCCGUGCUUGAGGACUGGAGAGGAGACGUGGAAUUUACGGUGUAGCGGUGAAAUGCGUAGAUAUCGUAAGGAAGACCAGUGGCGAAGGCGGGUCUCUGGACAGUUCCUGACGCUGAGGCACGAAGGUCAGGGGAGCAAACAGG